GAUGAGGAGCGAAAUUAAAGUAGCGAAGGCUGCGACGUCACACUGCCGAGAAAAGCUUCUAGCCAGAGACGGUGCACCCGUACCGCAAACCGACACAGGUAGUCGAGGAGAGUAUCCUCAGGUGAGCGAGAGAACUCUCGUUAAGGAACUCGGCAAAAUGGCCCCGUAACUUCGGGAGAAGGGGCGCUGGUCGCAAGAUCAGCCGCAGUGAAAAGGCCCAAGCAACUGUUUAUCAAAAACACAGGCAUCUGCAAAAUCGUAAGAUGAAGUAUAGGUGCUGACACCUGCCCGGUGCUGGAAGGUUAAGAGGAGAGCUUAGCGCAAGCGAAGGUUUGAAUUGAAGCCCCAGUAAACGGCGGCCGUAACUAUAACGGUCCUAAGGUAGCGAAAUUCCUUGUCGGGUAAGUUCCGACCUGCACGAAAGGUGUAAUGAUUUGGGCACUGUCUCAACGAGAGACUCGGUGAAAUUAUAAUACCCGUGAAGAUGCGGGUUACCCGCGACAGGACGGAAAGACCCCAUGGAGCUUUACUGCAGUUUAAUAUUGGGUAUCUGUCAAGCAUGUACAGGAUAGGUAGGAGCCGGAGAAGAUAGGACGCCAGUCUUAUC
This 607-nucleotide ribosomal RNA is filed under the name Lactobacillus delbrueckii subsp. bulgaricus. RNAcentral's name for it is "partial 23S ribosomal RNA". It matches the Rfam family "Bacterial large subunit ribosomal RNA", at positions 1563 to 2181 of the family's 2925-position model. The record is from RNAcentral. Lineage: Bacteria; Bacillati; Bacillota; Bacilli; Lactobacillales; Lactobacillaceae.